GGCAAUUACUUUUCAAAUGUCAAAAGCCGUCAUAUUUCUGUAGAUACUUGUCCUUUGGGAAAAUAUUGAAUAAUUUUGAUUACCAAUUAAUUAAUGGAUUGUAUAUCGUGAAACAUAGUGUAUUGAUGGUGAGCCGGUAGUUGCGGCGCCGGGAAAUCAGACUGGACUCAGACGAUACAAUUUAUUUCGGAACAAUUGAUGGUACAGAGUGACACAAGAAACCUCGCUGUAUAAAAUGGACGCAAGGAACUUAUGACGCUAUCAACAUAGAAUAGUCUUCCAUACGGCACCAAGACUGAACCUGUGAUACACCAGCGACGCUCAGACUUCAUCAGUUCAUCCCACUUCAUCCGUGGACUGCAGGCUUAGCUGAGGAACCCAGACAAUAACCGGAACGAACUUUAUGGAGCAUCACAAUUGUUCUAUAAGGACAUUAUUGUAAACUAGGGGUGGUCGAUGCCCCACGCGGCGCCCGCCUCCGCCAUGUCGGCUCCCCCCCGCCACCCGCACUUCUACACCGUCGAGGUCGGCGACACCCGCUUCACCAUCCUCAAGCGUUACCAGAACCUCAAGCCGAUUGGAUCCGGGGCACAGGGCAUUGUCUGCGCUGCAUACGACACGGUGACCCAACAGAAUGUCGCCAUCAAGAAACUGUCGCGGCCCUUCCAGAACGUCACGCACGCAAAACGCGCCUACCGCGAAUUCAAACUCAUGAAACUCGUCAACCAUAAAAAUAUAAUCGGUCUCCUGAACGCGUUCACCCCGCAGAGGAGCCUAGAGGAGUUCCAGGACGUGUACCUGGUGAUGGAGCUGAUGGACGCUAACCUCUGCCAGGUGAUCCAGAUGGACCUGGACCACGAGCGCAUGAGCUACCUACUGUACCAGAUGCUGUGCGGCAUCAAGCACUUGCAUCUUGCUGGGAUUAUACAUCGGGACUUGAAGCCCUCCAACAUAGUGGUGAAGAGCGACUGCACGCUCAAGAUCCUGGACUUCGGGCUGGCUCGCACCGCCGGGACCACCUUCAUGAUGACGCCCUAUGUCGUCACUAGAUACUAUCGCGCGCCUGAGGUAAUCCUGGGCAUGGGCUACACGGAGAACGUGGACAUCUGGUCGGUGGGCUGCAUCAUGGGCGAAAUGAUCCGCGGCGGCGUGCUCUUCCCCGGCACCGACCACAUCGACCAGUGGAACAAGAUCAUUGAGCAAUUGGGCACGCCAUCUGCGGCGUUCAUGGCGCGGCUGCAACCGACGGUGCGCAACUACGUGGAGAACCGCCCGCGCUACGCCGGUUACAGCUUCGAGCGGCUCUUCCCCGACAUAUUGUUCCCCUCCGACAGUAAUGAACAUAACCGACUCAAGGCGUCUCAAGCGCGCGACCUGCUGUCCCGCAUGCUGGUGAUCGACCCGGAGCGCCGCAUCUCCGUGGACGAGGCGCUGCUGCACCCCUACAUCAACGUGUGGUACGACGAGGGGGAGGUCAACGCGCCGGCACCAGCGUCAUACGACCACUCGGUGGACGAGCGCGAGCACACCGUGGACCAGUGGAAGCAGCUCAUCUACCAGGAGGUAGGAGGCUCUGACGUCAUCGACGACGACUAACACGUCCCCGACGACGUCUUACCACGUCGCGACGUCACACUUCACCAUUAUAAAAUACUAUCGCGUAAAUACUGUGCCGCUAGAACUUAAAAGUCAUAAUUCAGUAUCAAUCAAGUGGACUGUGUUUAGUGCAGUGUAUUAUAAUUGAAAAACUGAUAGAAAUUAUCUUUCUUCUAUAACAACAAUUUUAAUAACAAAUAAAAACUUUUCCAAAACAAAUUACCGACAAUAAUCGUUUAUAAGCGCCACCUGUGAGAAGAGUUCCGAACUAAGACAAACAACAUCGCAACGUCAAUGUGCUGUGCUUGGAAGUAUAUAUCGCCUAACAGAUGGCGUUAUUUGUAGAUGCAAUGAGAAGUUCUUCCACCGCGUUGGAUUACUGGUGAGUCCACAGAAUACAAAAUCAAAUUAACCCUGUAUUGCACAAAAAAAAGAGCGAGCAUAGUAACCCUAUGAGAGUUCGAGGGCGCACAUUUCUUUUGUCAAUCGUGCACGAAGUGUCUGCAGGAUGACCUUGAGAUGGAAACCAACGUUACAAAGUACUAGAAUAGGCUGACUCUUGAAACACGUCGGUUUCUGAACGAUCUUCACGCCACUCGGGAGUCUAGGGCCGACAAUCGUGGCUCAAAUGAAAGGCUUUAUGUGGAUGGAGCAUAGUAAAGGUAUAAGAAGGACGCUCGAAUAUUCGUUUAAUUAAAGAUGAACCGCUUGAAUCUAUUAACAAUAAUAUGAAGAUAAAAAGAACACCUGGAUGCCUAUGUACGAGCGAGUGACACAGAGGGCCUGUCAGCUAUUUUACUAAGUUCGCUAAGCAGACAGCCGAUAAGAUUGGCGGGGGAUACAUAGAGACAGAUGAAAGAAAGAAAUAUUUAUUAUUAUGAGAUAGAAGUUAUUCUGUUCCGCUCAUACACUCCGCUCUUAAGCAGCCGGGCACCCGACGGGAAGCUGGCCCUCUGAAGGUUUUUUAGAACCCAGCUAUUGUACAGAAAAGGAUUAUAAAUGUAAUAUUUAUUAACGUUCCUAUUAUUUGUUUAAAACUGUCUCUUGUUUACCAUAUAUUUCUUGUAUAUUUGUGUUACUUCGAUCUAUGCAAAGUAUUUAUGAGUCAUAUGGUGGUCAGGUAUUCAAGCUUAUAAUUACUGAACUAAUCAUACUAACUUUACACGUAUUUAUUCAUUCAUGCAAUUUUCUCUCAUUAUUUUUAUGUAUUGAGUAAAUUGAGCUUACACCAAUCAUACUAAGGGAUAAAAUACACACUUACUCACAAGAAAAAAUAAAUUAACAUGGGCGGACGGGGCGUUAUCGCUAAAAGCGAUCUCUUCCAGACAACUGUUAGCAGAGGAGAUAAGAACAUGACAUCACAGAAUACCAGGAUGCCCACCACCACCAUAUGACUACAUCGACGGUAAAACGUCUCUCGUGUUAUUGUGUGGUGGAGUACGCGGCGCCGCCGCCCGCGCAGCCGCUGGCGCCGCCCCAAGACCACGCGCAACCGGCGCUCACCACAUAGGUAUCAGCCGAGUUGACCGCCGAAAUCUAAUGAUCUACGACUAUAGUGCUAUCACUGUAGAGCGCGACGCGACGCGCUUCAUACGGCUACUGCGCAGUAGCCAUUCGGCGGCCAUUUUACUGUGAACACGUUUCAAUCAAACAAACGAUGUACAUAAAUAUCGUGACUUUGUGCAAUACACCACGGAAUCAAUUCAAGUGCAAAGUAAAAAGUUAAUUUGACUCGUUCAUUUUCUUUGUGUACAGAGAAGAGAGUGAAUGUUUCAGAGACAUCAAUAAUAACGUAGAGUAAGGCAGUGUAACAGAGAAUAACCCGUAGCGUAGCUGAAGUACUCUGUUAAGUACUGGUUUGUUUGUAUCAUUUAAAGAACUGUUAUCUCGUCUAUUUCUCGUAGUAUCUUCCUGUUUCUUAUGAUACGUAGUGUAAGUGAUCGGUUGCAGUGACACUGGAUGGUGUUCGUAAGCUCAACAGGUCCAUUGAUCGCCCCCGCCCCCGCCCCUGCCCCCGCUCCCGCCUUGCCCACGAACGUUUCAUUUGCAUUAAGGAGUGCCUUUUGCGAUUGCUAAAAGUUGGUGAAUUCAGCUUGUGGACUGACUUUGAUAUGUUUGAAUAUUUUUGUAAUAAAAUACACGAAUGAAAUGACAAGGGUGAUUCCUCUUAUUAAUCAUGCAAUAUUUUUAUCUCGUUUUAUUUUAAUUUAUAUCAAUUUGUAAUUAAAUAGUAAUGUAAUGAAUAUUAAUAAUAGAAUGUUGAGCUUAAUAUGUGUUGUUGUAUUUUUGUUUUUAUUGUGCGAUUAUUUUAAUUUAUACAUUAUUUGUAAUGUUAAUUAUAUUAUUGACGGUGGCACAUUUCCAAUCUGACCUCGAUCUGUCAACCCGAUGAAUUUCCUAAUCGAAUAUAAACUUUGUUGUAAGUACAGUGCCAUUCACAACCUUAUUGCCAUAGGUACAUGUUGGGUGUUGGAUUUGCAAUCGUGAGUUUCUGCGUGAUCUUUGGAUGUAUCUCGAUAUAAUUUGUUUCUUAGCCAUACACAAUGUCAGAUAGUUACUUGGGAUUUUGUGAUGUUCAUAGUUUUUCGUAAGUAGACCCUAGUUACAUUGUUGAUAAUAUUGUAUUGACUGUAUGAGAGUAGAUUAAUAAGUAUAUUUCUACCUAAGUAGUCUUAUAGGUCACCUCACACGUUGCGAACGACUGAAACUAAAUACGUAAACAAACGAACGAGUUGAUAACCUUGGUAUGUUAAACGGAAAUCGGAACGGUUUUAUAUAAAAAAAAGUAAAUCUAAAAAUAAUUUUAAACCUCGUUUUUUUCCACUGAUGACGUCAGUUUUAAUAUUCUGCUUUCAAUAAACACAAUAGGUGCGUAUAAUUUUAUUAUACGACAGUUCAGUCAAUGGCUUAACGUGUGAGGGUGUCGUAGGAUAUCGUUUGAAACCUCACUAGGUGAUAUAAUAUAAAUUAAGGGUAAUACAGAACGAUAGUCGUAUCGGGUGGUUUCAGCAAAUAGCACAAUUUAUUAGCUAUAGUAUAAAGCUGGGCGGUGACACGUUUGUGAUGUAUCUGCAUAACCAAUGAAGCAAUAAUAACAUCUUUCCUUUCUAUCUUUCGACUUCCUUCCAGAGCGGGCAACCAACUCGUUUAGGCCCAAAAACAUAUCACGAUUGACUUAAAUUGAUCAAUAUUCGACGUUUUUUGGCCAACGGUGAUGUUUGGCCGCUCCUCUAUGUUGUCGCUUUACUUUUGUUCCAUGCCGUCUCAGGAUUAUCACGUAAUUUAAUGUCAAUUGUGUCACCUCUAAUGCAAAGGCAUCUAAAUUUUCAUAAGGUUGUAUGUAUAUCAAAAUCAAGAUAAUAACAAUUUUGGCUAAUGCAAUUUUAUGUUGAUAAGAAAAAGAAGUGUAAUAAAUCUUUGAAAGUAUACAAUAAUAAGUCUAUUUUAGAUCUAAGUAUAAAUCUGUAAAUAUAACAGUAAAUAAUAAAUUACUGAAAUGGAACGAAAGUGAAGAGAACAUACUUUGAAUCUUAUAGUCAUUCUGUUUAUCACUAUAGAAAAUAAAUGAUUCACAACUGUACGUCCAAAUUGUCCAUUUAUAUGUUAAAAUGUACCUAAUACAAAUUACAAUAAUGUAAUCUUUAGAAUGUAUUUUAGUACACUUGGUAACAAGGGUUAAGGUAGUCGCCUUGUUGAACGCAAGCCGCGCGGCUUCUAGCGAUAUGUUUGAGUUAACACUUCGAUGACUAUCUAAAAACAACUUAUUUUUACUGUACGCGUAAGUUAUUUCAUAUUUUAACUGAAUAAAAUCGAAAUGGUUAUUAUA
Molecule: RNA transcript, 5422 nt
Organism: Pectinophora gossypiella (pink bollworm)
Lineage: Eukaryota; Metazoa; Arthropoda; Insecta; Lepidoptera; Gelechiidae
Gene: bsk
Gene name: stress-activated protein kinase JNK
Exons: 14
Source: RefSeq, a predicted model, not a curated record